GGGUUGGUAUCCAAAUUGGUGAAGGACGCUGACUGUAAAUCAGUUGCUUUGAUGCGCGUGGGGGUUCGAGUCCCUCCCAACCCU
RNAcentral lists this transfer RNA (84 nucleotides) under Lusitaniella coriacea LEGE 07157. RNAcentral's name for it is "Leptolyngbya mycoidea LEGE 07157 tRNA". It matches the Rfam family "tRNA". Rfam says of the family: Transfer RNA (tRNA) molecules are approximately 80 nucleotides in length. Their secondary structure includes four short double-helical elements and three loops (D, anti-codon, and T loops). Lineage: Bacteria; Bacillati; Cyanobacteriota; Cyanophyceae; Spirulinales; Lusitaniellaceae. The record is from Rfam by way of RNAcentral.